Molecule: long non-coding RNA, 4498 nt
Organism: Balaenoptera ricei (Rice's whale)
Lineage: Eukaryota; Metazoa; Chordata; Mammalia; Artiodactyla; Balaenopteridae
Exons: 4
Source: RefSeq, a predicted model, not a curated record
GCUGGACGUUCUCCAGUGUAUCCAUGCUGCCAUCUGUUGCCGGGGGCCCUGACCCUGCAUCCUUCUCCACCUUCUUUUCCUCUACCACUGGAACGGAGGCAGACUCCCCAGUGGUCCCUUUCUUCGGUUUCCCAACAGCGACGGCCGGAGACCCCCUCCCCACUGCGCUACAGGUAACUGGGGCCUUCUUCCCAGCGGGGCAGCGCCGAUUUCCAACGCGGGGGACAUUUUUCGGCCUUCCCACGGUCCCCGCGGUUCCCACGAAGACAGUGUCUGUCGCCAGGCGCUCCGAGAGUGUUGUGGCCUUCCCCGGGCCGGGCCUGGUUGCGGCCUGCCCGAGAUCCCCCGCAGCCCGGGCCCGGAGCGCGAGGCCACAGUCCAGGGGGAGCCGGCAGGCACCCUCUUCCCCGGGCCGGCGGGGCGGCGCAGGCGCAGCGGUUUCCAGGCCACCCCAACCCGCGCCAGCCUGCACCUGUGCCGCCUUGGUCUCCUCCCCGAGCCUCUGGCACUGUGGAGGGUCCGGGUCGCGUGGGGCGUCGCCAGGAGUAGCGCGGACUCGGCCUUUGGCGCGGCCUUUGCCACGGCUUUUGGCGCGGGAGGACUUUCUACCCCUACCUCGGCCGCUCAUGAUGGUAACGGACUCAACUUCAAAGGCACGCUCCGGCCCUGCGGCCCCUGGCGCCAGGUCGCUGUCCCUACCGAGAGGGCCUCUCCUUGGCAACCGCCGACGUCACGACUGCGCGACUGCACCGUAGCGCGAGGACUGGAUGCGCCCGCUGAUUGGCUCCACUGCCGCAGCUGCGCACCAGCCGACCCUCACAGACGCCCCCACCCCCACCUCACCCCAACUCGCUUUCACUGUUAGAGAGGGCUGUGCUUUCGUUUAGUUUCUAACCGUUGGCCUCAGUUGUGCCCUCGGGGUCCUCUUAUAUAAGACACCCUCAAGACAGCCAUCAUGUCAGUUCCCCUAUCAUAUACUUUCUAAACUAAAUAUCUAAAGUUCCUUCAAUUAGCUUCUGUGACAUCUAUCAUGAUGAAACUGCUCCUGGUCUCUAUGUCUCAUCUUUGAAAGCCUUUGCUGAGGGAUUUGCCCGGGUACCUUAACUCCAGGGACUUUCAAGGUCUGAUUUCCUCCAAUCAUAGAAAUUAACAGGCUGGGAAAAGACAUUCCAGUCAUCCAACCUACGGCGCAGCCAAGAGAACAACAUUCCCCACCGUCUCCCUGCCGAAGGGCUUUAAGGUUCCAGAUGACAUUUUUUAGCCACAAAGGUUUUCUCUUCCCCCAAGGAGAUAGUUUGAGUCUGUUAGAUCAAACAUUUUUAAGUGAAAUCAUGAAGGAAUGUCUGGAAAUUAUUUGAAUUCCUCCAAAGAAGAGCAGUUUUUGUGGUUGUCACUCGAGAAAAGCCUAUGAACGUAAAGAGAGGUAAUAUGAUCAAGCUGGACUCCACCUUACGUGGUUAGGGCAAGUGAGGAAUUGAUGGCAACUGGGAGCCAGCUUUACUCAAGACGUUAAGACUCUGUGCUACCUCUGAUUUCUUAACAUGUGUAACUUAGACUCCAAAACUGUUUUCGUCUCGCUACAAUAUGAAGGCUUUGCAAGAUCAGCUCAGAGACACAUCCAUACUGCUCUCUGCACCCAGCAGCCACGUCUGGACAGCUCUACUGAACAACUAAUGCAGUUCUGACACAAGUGGUAGAUUUGAGUAACUAAUGCUGCCUCUCUGUUGUUUUUUUCCUCCCCUUCUUAAUCAAUACCCGUAUAAUUGAUCAGGUAGGCCAUAUGGCCCCUGUGAUUCCCACAUUAAGACAAUUAGGACAGCAGCCAGGUCAUUGCUCAAGCUGGCAUUCUUCAUAACUAAGACAAGAAAACCUAACUCUUUGUCUUCCUCAGAAAAAGCCAACUCCACCCGCUCGUGGGUAUGAUUCAGUACGAAUUCAUGUAAUAUCUAGCUAAAAAGGAGUACAGCCACACUUAGAAAAAAUAUCGCCUAAAAGUGAAUUGUAUGCCAGUAAGUUUCCCCCUGCAGAAUCCAGACUGAAAUGUGAUAGUAAAAAUCUAAUGUGAUAGUGAAACUCUAACUAACUCAAGAAGAGUGAGUAUACAGUGUAGACGAAGAUCUUACACACAUUCUGAGAGAGAGCUGCUGGUCACUGGAGAGUACGUAGACUCUCCUACUCUAGGACCGAGGGUCAGAGAGGAGGAGUUCGGAGACUGGGGGAUUCUUACAGCUGUGAGCUCUAAAAUGAUGGAGCGGAGGGAAGACUUAGAAAUGCAAGGCCAAGUGUAAGGAAAGAUAAAAGAUCUAUUUUCUGGCAUCAGGAUUUAUGGAGGGAACCGCUCCCACACUGCAACCCUCUUUUUUUUUUUUUUUUUUUUAAAUUUGCGUCAUUUUUUAAAAUUUAUUUAUUUAUUUAUUUAUUUUUGGCUGUGUUGGGUCUUUGUUUCUGUGCGAGGGCUUUCUCUAGCUGUGGCAAGCGGGGGCCACUCUUCAUCACGGUGCGCAGGCCUCUCACUAUCGCGGCCUCUCUUGUUGCGGAGCACAGGCUCCAGACGCGCAGGCUCAGUAGUUGUGGCUCACGGGUCCAGUUGCUCCGCGGCAUGUGGGAUCCUCCCAGACCGGGGCACGAACCCGUGUCCCCUGCAUUGGCAAGCAGACUCUCAACCACUGCGCCACCAGGGAAGCCCUGCAACCCUCUUUUAAUAAGAGAAAGUAACAAGCUAAACAGCAUGUCAUAGCUGAGAUUUCUGGAAAGUCAGCCAUUCUCAGCAUCAUGGAAUCUGUGAAUCGGGAGCCAAUGGGAAGCAAAACAAGUAGCAGUUUGAACAUAGAAUUAUUAUUUUAUUUAGAACAGAAAGAGAAAAUUUACUAAAUAUAUUUACUAAACAUAGGCUAAACAUAUGACCUAUUGGCCAGGAGAUUUAUGCUUCCCUACGUGAUAUGUUCUCCUAACUCCAACCCCCAACCCCCAAGCAGGAGCAGUGGAGGAAGCAAGAACCACCGCAGCAGGGUUAGUCCUGGAAACGACAUUGUGCACCAGCAGACUUCUUGCAGAAGGUUUGCAAGCAUAAGAGAGACCCCUGAAGUACCUGGGCAGCCCACCCACUACUGAAACAAGACACAAGUGCCUCUGGGAAGGAGAUGACAAAUAUUCCUCUUGUCCUCUUGUCUUCCAUCACUCAAACCAAUUAAAAAGUAGAAUAAAAGUACCUAAAAAGAGGCAAACAACAGCAAUCAAUUCUCCCAGUUUAUAAUCAAACAGGAUUUCAGCAACCAAUGUUGUUAAAAAAAAUUUUCUACCAUAUGCCUCAUGUGUUACUCUAGUAAAUGAAUUCUUUCAUCAUCAAGAGAGUUUAUAUGACAUUCUCUUGAUGAUGAAAGAAUUUAUUUCCUAGAACAAAACUCUGGAAAAAGUCAUGUUAAGAAUCAUGCUGGCAAGAUUCUUUUUGACCCAGCUCCUAGAGAAAUGGAAAUAAAAACAAAAAUAAACAAAUGGGACCUAAUGAAGCUUAAAAGCUUUUGCACAGCAAAGGAAACCAUAAACAAGACCAAAAGACAACCCUCAGAAUGGGAGAAAAUAUUUGCAAAUGAAGCAACUGACAAAGGAUUAAUCUCCAAGAUUUACAAGCAGCUCAUGCAGCUCAAUAACAAAAAAACAAACAACCCAAUCCAAAAAUGGGCAGAAGACCUAAAUAGACAUUUCUCCAAAGAAGAUAUACAGAUUGCCAACAAACACAUGAAAGAAUGCUCAACAUCAUUAAGCAUUAGAGAAAUGCAAAUCAAAAUUACAAUGAGAUAUCAUCUCACACCGGUCAGAAUGGCCAUCAUCAAAAAAUCUAGAAACAAUAAAUGCUGGAGAGGGUGUGGAGAAAAGGGAACACUCUUGCACUGCUGGUGGGAAUGUAAAUUGAUACAGCCACUAUGGAGAACAGUAUGGAGGUUCCUUAAAAAACUAAAAGUAGAAUUACCAUAUGACCCAGCAAUCCCACUACUGGGCAUAUACCCUGAGAAAACCAUAAUUCAAAAAGAGUCAUGUACCAAAAUGUUCAUUGCAACUCUACUUACAAUAGGCAGGACAUGGAAGCAACCUAAGUGUCCAUCAUCGCAUGAAUGGAUAAAGAAGAUGUGGCACAUGUAUACAAUGGAAUAUUACUCAGCCAUAAAAAGAAACGAAAUGGAGGUAUUUGUAGUGAGGUGGAUGGAGUUAGAGUCUGUCAUACAGAGUGAAGUAAGCCAGAAAGAGAAAAACAAAUACAGUAUGCUAACACAUAUAUACGGAAUCUAAGAAAAAAAAAAAAAAGUCAUGAAGAACCUAGUGGCAAGCCGGGAGUAAAGACACAGACCUACUAGAGAAUGGACUUGGGGAUAUGGGGAGGGGGAAGGGUAAUAUGUGACAGAGUGAGAGAGUGGCAUGGACAUAUAUACACUACCAAAUGUAAAAUAGCUAGUGGGAAGCAGUCGCAUAGCACAGGGAGAUCAGCUCGGUGCUUUGUGACCAC